Molecule: long non-coding RNA, 1178 nt
Organism: Dama dama (fallow deer)
Lineage: Eukaryota; Metazoa; Chordata; Mammalia; Artiodactyla; Cervidae
Exons: 3
Source: RefSeq, a predicted model, not a curated record
ACUGUGGGACGGGAUCUCCUUUUUCUUCUUCUCUCAGGCUGGCCUUUAGGCAUUGUUGUCCAAACUGUGACUUUAGCGUAGGGAGAACCUGGGCUUGCUGGCAGUGUAAACACACUCUCCAGCACAAAGAAUGCCCUGAACCCUCUAAAUUGUUUCACUGAGCACAGUCCCAAGAUCAUUUCUUGCCUAACUGUUAGCGCUGUAGUCACUUUCCCUCUUGAUCACUCCCUGAGAUUUUCCUUUUCCCUCUCAGUUCCCAUCAUCAGUGCCGGGUUUUGGGGUUAAGAUGACUUCUGAACCAAAAGAGAAGACUCUUGAGAGUCCCUUGGACUGAAAGGAGAUCCAGCCAGUCCAUCCUAAAGGAAAUCAGUCCUGAAUAUUCACUGGAAGGACUGAUGCUGAAGCUGAAACUCCAAUACUUCGGCCACCUCAUGUGAAGAACUGACUCAUUUGAAAAGACCCUGAUGCUGGGUUGUAAAAUGCCCCGUCUGAGGACUGACCGCAAAGCCCGUGUGAGGAGAUAAAGAAGCUAUGGAGGCUUUCAGAGCUGAACUCAAUUUAUCUAGAACGUUUCUUUCUUCUUUUAUUUUUUCCCCUUCAGAUCAAGAUAGUGCUUUUUCUUAUAAAUACUAAAAAAAGAAAAGAAAAAGGAAACGAAAAUCCACCUUUGUUUUCUUCCCCAUGUGUACCUUACAACCUACUGAGAUUUCUUUACUCCAGAAGCACUCUGAAGCAGUGAAACCAGGGAAUGUGAGUGAAUCACAAGGACAGAUGGUCGUUUGGGAACGAACUGGUUCCCUCAAAAGUGAGAAACAGCCUACUGUGUGACCCGGGGACUCCACUCACACUCUGCAAUGACCUAUAUGAGAAUUUUGUUCUUGUUCAAUCACCAAGUCGUGUCCGACUGUUUGAGACCCCAUGCACUGCAGCACGCCAGGCUUCCCUGCCCUUCACUAUUCUCCUAGAGUUUGCUGAAACUCGUGUCCAUUGAGUAGAUGAAUAUGAGAAUAGAAUCUAAAAAACAGUAGUUUUAUGUAUAACUGAUUCACUUUGCUCUACACCUGAAACUAAAGCAACAUCUUUAAUCAAAUAUACUCUAAUAAAAAUUAAUUAAAAAAAAAAGCUGAGCAACAAUCAGCUAACAGCCUUACUGUGACGGAGGCGUUGUGUUAUGGUGA